Molecule: long non-coding RNA, 854 nt
Filed under: Nicotiana benthamiana
Lineage: Eukaryota; Viridiplantae; Streptophyta; Magnoliopsida; Solanales; Solanaceae
Description: long non-coding RNA (NBEN_LNC030180)
Source: RNAcentral
UUGGGUCGGGUCAGACGGCCCAAGAGGAAAAGUAAAUUGGGCUCAGACCAAUGCACUCAUCACAGCCCACAUUACAAUGUAUAUCAGAAAUAUACAAUAGGUAUACAAUGGAUAUACAAUGGAUACAAUCAUUUAUGCUUAGGUUUGGAGGCCAUAUAAUCCUUCAGCUCAACACCCCCCCUCAAGUUGGAGGGGAAACCACCUUCAACUUGGACAACAGCGGAUAGAGCACAGUUCCAGGUAAUGGCUUAGUGAGCAGGUCAGCCAGUUGACGAGAAGUAGGAACAUGAAACAACUGAAGAAAACCAUUCAGUAGCUGAUCCCGAACAAAGUGACAGUCCACCUCGAUGGGGCUUAGUGAGCAGGUUAGCUAGUUGACGAGAAGUAGGAACAUGAAACAACUGAAGAAAACCAUUCUAGAGCUGAUCCCGAACAAAAUGACAGUCCACCUCGAUGUGUUUGAUACGCUCAUGGAAAACAGGAUUGUUGACUAUAUGGACAGCAGCCUGGCUGUCACAAUACACAGAAAAAGGAAGAGAAACAGAUACUCCAAGAUUAACCAAUAAGCGAGACAGCCAAGAUAACUUAGCAAGAACUUUGCUGAGGGCUCUAUAUUCUGCCUCAGCAGAGGACAAAGAAACAACAGGCUGCUUCUUAGAUUUCCAACUAAUCAGGCAACCACCCAAUAGCACACAGAAUCCAGUAACAGAUCUCCUAGUAUCAGGGAAUGCAGCCCAGUCACUAUUAGAAUAACCAACAAUAGAGAAAUCAUCACUGGCAGAAUAAAAGAGACCCAUAGAAGGAGUGCCUUUAAGGUAUCUCAAAACAUGUAGGGCAGCAGUCAUAUGGGGANN